GGAUAAACGAUUGAUGUAACAAUAAGGUAUGUGACAUGUAAAGAACUAAAGCAAGCUUAAUUUGGACGACGAGAUCGUCAGAUAUGAAGUCUUACUUCUAAAACAAAGACAAUAAGUGUAAAAUGUCCUCGUGAGUGACAUAUUCAUUUAUAAGAAUGCUGGUGUUCACUUUUGCUUUUGCUGUACUCCUUUUUUCUCCUUUCACCCUAAAUGAUCAGUGAGCAGCGUGAGUCUUUUCAUCUUUUUUUUGUAUUUAGUAUUAGAUCUGCAUCAUUCUGUAACAUUCCUUUAACGUUUUCCAUCUUUGUAUAUUUUGCUGUCAAAAUUCUCAGAAGCAAAAAAGCUUUUGUGUUUCGCAAGUUAGUCGCCUCCCCGGUAUGAAUCUGCGAAAAGUCUCACGAUAUUUACAACGCAAAGUGUCGUACGUUUAAAGAACAUAAUGUAUCACAGUUCGCUACGAUAUUCAACUAGAUUACCCU
Long non-coding RNA from Xenia sp. Carnegie-2017, 479 nucleotides. RefSeq lists it as uncharacterized. Lineage: Eukaryota; Metazoa; Cnidaria; Anthozoa; Malacalcyonacea; Xeniidae. The record is from RefSeq and is a predicted model, not a curated record. The transcript has 3 exons.